GCGCCGUUGGUCUAGUGGUUAUGAUUCCUGCCUUCCAAGCAUGAGAGACGUGUUCGAUUCACGUACGGCGCA
Molecule: transfer RNA, 72 nt
Filed under: Verticillium dahliae VdLs.17
Lineage: Eukaryota; Fungi; Ascomycota; Sordariomycetes; Glomerellales; Plectosphaerellaceae
Also listed under: 2 other names
Description: tRNA-Gly (TCC) (tRNA-Gly-TCC-1-1, tRNA-Gly-TCC-1-2)
Rfam family: tRNA
About the family: Transfer RNA (tRNA) molecules are approximately 80 nucleotides in length. Their secondary structure includes four short double-helical elements and three loops (D, anti-codon, and T loops). Further hydrogen bonds mediate the characteristic L-shaped molecular structure. tRNAs have two regions of fundamental functional importance: the anti-codon, which is responsible for specific mRNA codon recognition, and the 3' end, to which the tRNAs corresponding amino acid is attached (by aminoacyl-tRNA synthetases). tRNAs cope with the degeneracy of the genetic code in two manners: having more than one tRNA (with a specific anti-codon) for a particular amino acid; and 'wobble' base-pairing, i.e. permitting non-standard base-pairing at the 3rd anti-codon position.
Source: RNAcentral